RNAcentral lists this ribosomal RNA (468 nucleotides) under uncultured bacterium. RNAcentral's name for it is "partial 16S ribosomal RNA". It matches the Rfam family "Bacterial small subunit ribosomal RNA", at positions 28 to 507 of the family's 1533-position model. The record is from RNAcentral.
GACGAACGCUGGCGGCGUGCUUAACACAUGCAAGUCGAACGGAAAGGCCCUGCUUUUGUGGGGUGCUCGAGUGGCGAACGGGUGAGUAACACGUGAGUAACCUGCCCUUGACUUUGGGAUAACUUCAGGAAACUGGGGCUAAUACCGGAUAGGAGCUCCUGCUGCAUGGUGGGGGUUGGAAAGUUUCGGCGGUUGGGGAUGGACUCGCGGCUUAUCAGCUUGUUGGUGGGGUAGUGGCUUACCAAGGCUUUGACGGGUAGCCGGCCUGAGAGGGGGAACGGGCACAUUGGGACUGAGAUACGGCCCAGACUCCUACGGGCGGCAGCAGUGGGGAAUAUGGCAGAAUGGGCGGAAGCCUGAUGCAGCAACGCCGCGUGCGGGAUGACGGCCUUCGGGUUGUAAACCGCUUUCGCCUGUGACGAAGCGUGAGUGACGGUAAUGGGUAAAGAAGCACCGGCUAACUACGUG